GGGGGCCCGCAAGCGGUGGAGCAUGUGGUUCAAUUCGACGCAACGCGAAGAACCUUACCUGGGCUCGAAAUGUAGUGGAAUCGGGUGGAAACAUCCGCGUCUCGCAAGAGACUGCUAUAUAGGUGCUGCAUGGCUGUCGUCAGCUCGUGUCGUGAGAUGUUGGGUUAAGUCCCGCAACGAGCGCAACCCUUAUCCCUAGUUGCCAUCGGGUCAAGCCGGGCACUCUAGUGAAACCGCCCGGGAUAACCGGGAGGAAGGUGGGGAUGACGUCAAGUCCUCAUGGCCUUUAUGUCCAGGGCUACACACGUGCUACAAUGGUCGGUACAAACCGUCGCAAACCCGCGAGGGGGAGCUAAUCGGAAAAAGCCGGCCUCAGUUCGGAUUGGAGUCUGCAACCCGACUCCAUGAAGCUGGAAUCGCUAGUAAUCGCGGAUCAGAACGCCGCGGUGAAUACGUUCCCGGGCCUUGUACACACC
RNAcentral lists this ribosomal RNA (476 nucleotides) under uncultured bacterium. RNAcentral describes it as "bacterial SSU rRNA". It matches the Rfam family "Bacterial small subunit ribosomal RNA", at positions 915 to 1391 of the family's 1533-position model. The record is from RNAcentral.